Homo sapiens (human) is the source of this 739-nucleotide long non-coding RNA. RefSeq lists it as uncharacterized. Lineage: Eukaryota; Metazoa; Chordata; Mammalia; Primates; Hominidae. The record is from RefSeq and is a predicted model, not a curated record. The transcript has 2 exons.
GCCGGAGCGCGGAGCCGCGGCGCCUGGGUUUUGCGCGAGGCCUCCGCCCUGGGAUUGGGGCGGGCAGUCGCGGAGGCGCAUCCCUGGUGAGCCGGUGGGAGGGGAAAAGGAUGUCGCGUCCCCCAUCCUUGCGGCCUCCCGUCCUCCGUCACCAGCCCCCUCCGUCUCCUGCAUCACAAGGCCCCGUCCCCGCGGUCCCCCGCGACCCCCGCACCCGGCCCCGCUCCACCCGCCGUGCUUCCUGCCCCUCCACACCCUCGUCCCCACCCGGGCCCAUCCCCCUGUGAGCCCUGGUGCCCUGGGAUGAGGGCCGAGGUCCUGAGCGGAGAGGGUGCUUGUACCAGCCCCAUGGUGGCUCGAGCCCACCCCGCGGCCCCUCCCGUGGCAGGUGCGGUUUCUCCACCGGUUGUCAGCUGCGGGGCCGGGCGGAGACCUCCUCAACCUCCGGCCUUGUUUCAGGGAGGAUGGGGUCGACCCUUGCGAUCCCCAGAGGCCCCCCAUGGCUCCUCCUGGGCUGGCUGUCUUCCUCCUGUGGGUUCUGAUGCCACCUGGGCCGACGGCGUCUUCUCAGCCCAGGGCGGCCGCGCCUCCGGUGCCGCAGCCCAAUAGGAAGAGACGUGCUCGGUCAACUUAGUUUCUGCCCUCAAGCACCAGAGAGAAAAGGCAGAGAAAACAGGUAAGGGCAUGUUGUCUAUUCAUUAGACCCAUGGAGUUUUCAAUAAAAGGACACAAAAUGACA